GCCGGUGUAGCUCAAUGGCAGAGCGAUCACUUCGUAAGCGAUAGGUUAGUGGUUCGAGUCCACUCACUGGCU
Molecule: transfer RNA, 72 nt
Filed under: Nitrospiraceae bacterium
Lineage: Bacteria; Pseudomonadati; Nitrospirota; Nitrospiria; Nitrospirales; Nitrospiraceae
Description: tRNA-Thr
Rfam family: tRNA
About the family: Transfer RNA (tRNA) molecules are approximately 80 nucleotides in length. Their secondary structure includes four short double-helical elements and three loops (D, anti-codon, and T loops).
Source: RNAcentral